GACGAACGCGGCGGCGUGCUUAACACAUGCAAGUCGAACGCUGAAGCUCAGCUUUUGUUGGGUGGAUGAGUGGCGAACGGGUGAGUAACACGUGAGUAACCUGCCCCCCUUCUUUGGGAUAACGCCCGGAAACGGGUGCUAAUACAGGAUAUUCACUGGCUUUCGCAUGGGGGUUGGUGGAAAGGUUUUUCUGGUGGGGGAUGGGCUCGCGGCCUAUCAGCUUGUUGGUGGGGUGAUGGCCUACCAAGGCUUUGACGGGUAGCCGGCCUGAGAGGGUGACCGGUCACAUUGGGACUGAGAUACGGCCCAGACUCCUACGGGAGGCAGCAGUGGGGAAUAUUGCACAAUGGGCGAAAGCCUGAUGCAGCGACGCCGCGUGAGGGAUGGAGGCCUUCGGGUUGUAAACCUCUUUCGCUCAUGGUCAAGCCGCAGCUUUGGGUUGUGGUGAGGGUAGUGGGUAAAGAAGCGCCGGCUAACUACGUGCCAGCAGCCGCGGUAAUACGUAGGGCGCGAGCGUUGUCCGGAAUUAUUGGGCGUAAAGGGCUUGUAGGCGGUUGGUCGCGUCUGCCGUGAAAUCCUCUGGCUUAACUGGGGGCGUGCGGUGGGUACGGGCUGACUUGAGUGCGGUAGGGGAGACUGGAACUCCUGGUGUAGCGGUGGAAUGCGCAGAUAUCAGGAAGAACACCGGUGGCGAAGGCGGGUCUCUGGGCCGUUACUGACGCUGAGGAGCGAAAGCGUGGGGAGCGAACAGG
RNAcentral lists this ribosomal RNA (752 nucleotides) under uncultured Actinomyces sp. RNAcentral describes it as "bacterial SSU rRNA". It matches the Rfam family "Bacterial small subunit ribosomal RNA", at positions 28 to 776 of the family's 1533-position model. The record is from RNAcentral. Lineage: Bacteria; Bacillati; Actinomycetota; Actinomycetes; Actinomycetales; Actinomycetaceae.